RNAcentral lists this ribosomal RNA (254 nucleotides) under uncultured bacterium. RNAcentral describes it as "partial 16S ribosomal RNA". It matches the Rfam family "Bacterial small subunit ribosomal RNA", at positions 524 to 776 of the family's 1533-position model. The record is from RNAcentral.
UACGUAGGGUGCAAGCGUUAAUCGGAAUUACUGGGCGUAAAGCGUGCGCAGGCGGUUGUGCAAGACAGAUGUGAAAAUCCCCGGGCUUAACCUGGGAAUUGCAUUUGUGACUGCACGGCUAGAGUGUGUCAGAGGGGGGUAGAAUUCCACGUGUAGCAGUGAAAUGCGUAGAUAUGUGGAGGAAUACCGAUGGCGAAGGCAGCCCCCUGGGAUAACACUGACGCUCAUGCACGAAAGCGUGGGGAGCAAACAGG